RNAcentral lists this ribosomal RNA (254 nucleotides) under uncultured bacterium. Its description in RNAcentral is "partial 16S ribosomal RNA". It matches the Rfam family "Bacterial small subunit ribosomal RNA", at positions 524 to 776 of the family's 1533-position model. The record is from RNAcentral.
UACGUAGGGUCCGAGCGUUGUCCGGAUUUAUUGGGCGUAAAGAGCUCGUAGGCGGCUCAGUAAGUCGGAUGUGAAAACUCGGGGCUCAACCCCGAGACGCCAUCCGAUACUGCUGUGGCUUGAGUCUGGUAGGGGAACACGGAAUUCCUGGUGUAGCGGUGAAAUGCGCAGAUAUCAGGAGGAACACCGAUGGCGAAGGCAGUGUUCUGGGCCAGUACUGACGCUGAGGAGCGAAAGCGUGGGGAGCAAACAGG